RNAcentral lists this ribosomal RNA (600 nucleotides) under Triticum aestivum (bread wheat). RNAcentral describes it as "partial small subunit ribosomal RNA". The record is from RNAcentral. Lineage: Eukaryota; Viridiplantae; Streptophyta; Magnoliopsida; Poales; Poaceae.
AUGGCCUACUUCGUUGAGAAAGCGAAGGAAGAUCCAGAUUUCUUCUACAGGAUAAGGUUGGACGAUGAGGACCGUGUCAGGAACAUGUAUUGGGUGGAUGGUGCUGCAAGGAGAGCCUACAAACAUUUCUGAGAUUGCAUUUCAUUCGACGCGACGUAUCUGACUAAUAUGUACAAGAUGCCAUGCGCUCCGUUCAUAGGAAUAAAUAACCACAAUCAGUCGUUGCAGUUCGGCUGCGGGCUCGUUCGGAACAAACAGGAUGGGUACGUUUGGCUGUUCAAGACCUUCUUGGAGUGCAUGGAUGGACUUGCUCCAAUGAACAUAAAAACUGACCAGGAUUUUAGCAUGCGUGCAGGCAUAGAGGAGGUAUUUCUGUUGGCAGUGCACAGGCACUCCAGGUGGCACAUUAUAAAGAAGGCUGAGGAGACGCUAGGACCGUUCUUUGCUGACCAUCCAGAGCUGCACAAGGCAUUCGAGCUGUGCGUGGACCACAGCUUGACGGUGGAGGAGUUUGAAAGGAACUGGAUGGCCAUGAUUGAAACAUAUCAAGUCCAAGACAACGAGAUGCUUGCUAACCUAUGGGAGAAGCGAAUGUACUAG